Long non-coding RNA from Drosophila miranda, 798 nucleotides. RefSeq lists it as uncharacterized. The transcript has 5 exons. Lineage: Eukaryota; Metazoa; Arthropoda; Insecta; Diptera; Drosophilidae. The record is from RefSeq and is a predicted model, not a curated record.
UUCGGAGCGUCGGAAGUUAAACACAUAAAAAUAAAAUUCUAAAUUUCUAAAUUUUUGAGAAAUAUUUAUUUCGGUUUUUUUUUUCAAUUAGGUUUAAGCAUAAAAGUGAUUAGUUUUUUUUAGUUUUUAAAGUUAAGUAUAAAGUGUACAACAUAAUUAUACUUCUCCAAGAUACACAAGGCUCAAAAAUACUUCUCCAAGAUACACAAGGCUCAAAAAUACUUCUCCAAGAUACACAAGGCUCAAAAAUACUUCUCCAAGAUACACAUCUGUUGAUUGUUUCACAAGAACCGAAAGCCGAGAGUUCAUAUUCAUAAUUACCUGGCCAAAAACAAACUACAAAACGUAUGGCUUUAAUCUUGGUGGCCCAAGAAGAUAGAAUUAUACUUCAUUUGACCGCUUUUCUACACAUACCUACAUAAAUAUGGGCACUCUACGUUCAUAUUUAUAAUUACCCGUCCAAAAAAAAAAACUACAAAACAUACGGCUGUAAGCUGUGGUGGCCCAAGAAGAUUCAAAACUACAUAAAUAUGGGCACUCUACGUGCGCAUUCAUAUUUACCUGGCCAAAAACACACUACGCAAACGUACGACUUUAUACAAUCUGAUGGGUCUGGGGGUUAGAAGUAGUCGCGAAACAAUACUUUGUUUGGGAUUCGGUGGACUAAACAGUCUUUCAGUUAUCGGAAAUGAAAUACUGGGUUAAUCGGGUACAAGUGCUGAUGAGGAAAUCGACGGCAAUACUAUAUUUUGUUACUAAUAAUUAUAUUACUCGUGAUUAUAUUUUGAUACUAAAAUA